AAGCGAAAUGUAGAUGCACUCUAAAGUGUUCCUGAGUAGGUUGAGAGACGGCAAACUCUCUUCUGAAGCUGGGGUGACCACACUCCAAGGCUAAAUACCGUGAUAAGACCGAUAGUGAACGAGUACCGUGAGGGAAAGGUGAAAAGAAGGGUGGAAGACCCCGUGAAAUAGUACCUGAAACCAUCUGCUAACAAUCAGUGAGCGCCUCUGUCCGCAAGGAUUGGGGUUAUCACGUGCCUAUUGAAGAAUGAGCCGGCGAGUAUUUGUACAUCCGCUUAGGUUAAGGCGCGACGCGCCGAAGCCGUAGUGAAAGCGAGCCUGAAUAGGGCGAUCUUUUGUGGAGUAUGAAUGACCCGAAACCAGGUGAGCUAACCAUGACCAGGAUGAAGUUUCGGUAAUACGAAAUGGAGGUCCGAACCGGUGUCCGCUGCAAGGGGCUCGGAUGAGUUGUGGUUAGGGGUAAUAUGCCAAUCGAACCUGGAGAUAGCUGGUUCUCCCUGAAACAUGUUUUGGCAUGGGGUUAUAGCGACGCAUAUGGGGGUAGAGCUCUGAUCGGGCGUAUCUGACGAAAGUCAGAGCGUCUAGUCAAACUUCAAAUACCAUAUGCCAUUCUAUGGCACUCAGCAUCCGGGAGCUAAGUUCCGGAAACAAAAGGACAAAAAUCCAGACUUACAGCUAAGGUCUCAAAGUUAGUACUCAGUGGAUAAGGAAGUGUGAUUUCUCAGACACCUAGGAGGUCGGCUCAGAAGCAGCCAUCCUUUAAAGAAAGCGUAACAGCUCACUAGCCGUAGAAAUCAUGCGCCGAAAAUGUAUCGAGGCUUAAGUACUACACCGAAGCUUAAGAUUUGUGACUGUUUUUACAGUUGCAAGUGGUAAGGGAGCGCUCUAGGUGCUGUGAAGGUGGACCGUAAGGUAACCGCUGGAGCGACUAGAGGUGAGAAUGCCGGCAUGAGUAGCGAAAUUAAAGUGAGAAUCUUUAACUCCGUAUGACCAAGGUUUCCGCACCCACGUUCGUCGUGUGCGGGUUAGGCGACCCUAAGGUGAGCCCCGUAUAUUGCGGGGGUAGCCGAUGGAUUACAGGUUAAUAUUCCUGUCCUUGUGGCCUAUCGUUUGACUUGGGGAGGGACGGUAUUGGAUAGUGUGUUCGUCGUUGUGAAGAUGACGUCUAAGCAGUGAGGCAGUUUGAGUAGGCAAAUCCGCUCAAACGUUUACACGAGCUGUAACGGGUUUCUGAACCUUCGGGGGAGGAAAUACACAUGAUUUCAGUAUCCUGGAAAAGCUUCGCAAGGAGAUAAGUCACAAAUCGUACCGAUAACCGACACAGGUGGUCCGGUCGAGUAGACUAAGGAGAGCGGGAGAAACUAGUUUAAGGAAUUCGGCAAAUCAACUGGGCGUAAUUUCGAGAGAUGCCCUUCCCGAUGCAAAUCGGGACUCAGUUAAUGAUAUGGGAUGGACUGUUUACCACAAACACAGGUCCGUGCAAACUCGUAAGAGAAGGUAUACGGGCUGAAGCCUGCCCAGUGCCGGAAGGUUAAUUGCGAGGGUCCUUCAGAAGCUUGCUUCUGAUGCGGCCUUCAAUCGAAGCCCCGGUGAACGGCAGCAGUAACUAUAACUGUUCUAUGGUAGCGAAGUUCCUUGUCGCUUAAUUGGCGACCCGCAUGAAUGGUGUAACCAGUCCCAUGCUGUCUUGAACUAGUACCCGGCGAAAUUGAAAUGGCUGUGAAGAUGCGGCCUACUGGCGGCAGGACAAAAAGACCCCGUGGAGCUUUACUGUACCUUGACACUGAAAUUUAUGUUUCGACUGUGUAGCAUAGGAGGGAGCCGCAAGGCGAUCGUGUAA
RNAcentral lists this ribosomal RNA (1840 nucleotides) under wastewater metagenome. RNAcentral's name for it is "bacterial LSU rRNA". It matches the Rfam family "Bacterial large subunit ribosomal RNA", at positions 377 to 2197 of the family's 2925-position model. The record is from RNAcentral.